This is a long non-coding RNA of Coccinella septempunctata (seven-spotted ladybird), 1879 nucleotides long. RefSeq lists it as uncharacterized. The record is from RefSeq and is a predicted model, not a curated record. The transcript has 3 exons. Lineage: Eukaryota; Metazoa; Arthropoda; Insecta; Coleoptera; Coccinellidae.
CCAUUUUCUCACAUUUGACAUCAAGUAUUUUUUGAACCAUACACAACAUGGAUGCAUAGUUUCCGAAUUUCGAUUUCAAAUUUCCUCGGAGUUAUUUUGUAAGAAAUUGAUGGAAUCUGAAAAAAGGUUAGAAAUAGUCUCUAUGUACCAUUAAUUUCUAAGCCAGUCGACGAAAAUGGUUGUUUACCAUGAUACCUUCCCAUGCGUAUGUUGGAUAGUUUUUCCGAUAUCAUAUUUUGAUAUAUGUACCCUAAAAUAUCAUCAAAUUGAUUAUUCACUUCAAGAUUUUGCUCAACGAAUUAGGUACAAAAUGCAGGGAUCCACUCACGUGAUAUACACAGUACCUACAUAAAUUCUGAAGGAACAUACCGGGUUAUUCAAAACUAAAAUAAAAUCUGGAAACUAUUGAUAUUGCUAACUAAUUAUAUGGCAAAUAUAUGGUUUCGGGAUAUUGAAAACACAAAAAUUGAUAAUAAUGGUUAUUUUGACAGUAGAAACAAGAAAAUUUAGUUGUAGGGGUUUUUUCUUGAAAAUAAGAAUUCUUAUAUAACUCGUUUUACUGUAGAUUAUAGCCUUCUAUAAUUCCUUCUAUAAUCCCAAACAAGAGACCUAUCCUGUCAGGUAAAAAAUGUAUUUUUGCUCAAAAACCUUCUUUUGGAGAUUUUCGUUUCACAUAAUGGAAUUGCAAUUUAUGCAUCUUCGAAUGGCGGACAUAGAUUUUGUAUUUCCUAUAGCGAGUAAGCUUCUGUCAAAUAAUAUCACUCACUUCCCUGUUUUUAAUCACAAUACCAAACUUUACUUUCACACCAUGGACUGUGUAGCGUUCAAUUUCAUUGCAGCACAAAAUACUUCGUAUAGUAAUUUGGGUUGCCUACUGAUUUCGAGUUCGACGAAUUUAAAUUAUCUCGGGGAAUGUUUAUCGGUUUUUUUUUUCCAUAUGUGCCAGAUACGGUAAUUUCCUUCAAGAAAGAAUUUACUUUCGUACUUCGAAAUUGGGAAAGUAGAUAUUUCGAUUUAUUCUGUGGAAAUCCAAGAGUUUUGGGAUAAAAAUAUUUUCCUGAUUUCUUUCAAUAUUGUAUUGCGAGUUGGUUAUUUGAUGAAGCAAUAUAAUACCCAAAUUUGGGGAUCAUUGGAGUGUAUUGAAAGAGUAUCUUUCUCCAUUAGGCCACACAACAUCAAAGUGAGUUUUUUUUCAUACAUUCGUUAAUAGUUUAUAUCUUCAUCUAGAACGAUUAAUAUCGUACAUCCCAUUGUUCUAGGGCCUUUUUUUUCCCGACUUUUUCUUCUUGAGUUUACGUUUGGAAUAUAACGUAAAAUAUAAGAGUGCUGUCGACAGAGAAUUCAAUUUACCUAAGAUCCAAGAACAUCAAGGAUACUGAACGAGCGCUGCAGAUUUUUGGUUUAUGUUCAAUUUUUGUCUUCACGAGUUUGGACUCACAGGAUUGAGAAUUGGUGACGUAGUUUUAAUAAUAGUUUCAAUCCUGCUGUUCAUCAAACUGAUUGAAUAUAGGAUUCCUAGAAUAACUAGGCACUUAUAUUGACCAUACUCUGCCCAUAGGUUUCAACACUCGAAACGUCGUAAAACUUUUUUUUAUGACAUGUUUGGGAGUUUAUCGCCAUUUCGAAUAUUCUGAAGAUAUUGAAGUUUUCCUGAAGAAAUUUGUCCAGAAGAAUUAUUCAGAGGAGUGUGACCCACUGGUUUCACCAUUUCACCGGUGAAAAUCACCGCAACUCAUAAAGCAAGAUACUCCAAAUCUUCGUCGUAAUAGCGAUAUAUGAUUUGUAGUUUCACAUCGGAGGCAAUUUUCCUAAAAAUACUGUCUUCAACAUUUUCCCCACGGUGUUUUCUCAGAGCGAUGUGUUUAAUGAAGGUGGUGAU